RNAcentral lists this ribosomal RNA (240 nucleotides) under uncultured bacterium. Its description in RNAcentral is "partial 16S ribosomal RNA". It matches the Rfam family "Bacterial small subunit ribosomal RNA", at positions 96 to 334 of the family's 1533-position model. The record is from RNAcentral.
UGGCGAACGGGUGAGUAACGCGUGAGGAACCUGCCUCAAAGAGGGGGACAACAGUUGGAAACGACUGCUAAUACCGCAUAAGCCCACGACCCGGCAUCGGGUAGAGGGAAAAGGAGCAAUCCGCUUUGAGAUGGCCUCGCGUCCGAUUAGCUAGUUGGUGAGGUAAUGGCCCACCAAGGCGACGAUCAGUAGCCGGCCUGAGAGGGUGAACGGCCACAUUGGGACUGAGACACGGCCCAA